AACGUAGGAGACAAACGUUAUCCGGAGUUACUGGGCGUAAAGGGCGUGUAGGUGGUUUCGUAAGUCUGGCGUGAAAUUUCUCGGCUUAACCGAGGCAGGUCGUCGGAUACUGCGGAACUUGAGGACGGUAGAGGCGUGUGGAAUUCCGGGUGUAGUGGUGAAAUGCGUAGAGAUCCGGAGGAACACCAGUGGCGAAGGCGACACGCUGGGCCGCAACUGACGCUGAGGAGCGAAAGCAUGGGGAGCGAACAGG
Molecule: ribosomal RNA, 253 nt
Filed under: uncultured bacterium
Lineage: Bacteria
Description: partial 16S ribosomal RNA
Rfam family: Bacterial small subunit ribosomal RNA
Source: RNAcentral